Molecule: ribosomal RNA, 373 nt
Filed under: uncultured organism
Description: partial 16S ribosomal RNA
Rfam family: Bacterial small subunit ribosomal RNA
Source: RNAcentral
GUAGGUGGCAAGCGUUGUCCGGAAUUAUUGGGCGUAAAGCGCGCGCAGGUGGUUCUUUAAGUCUGAUGUGAGAGCCCCCGGGCUCAACCGGGGAGGGUCAUUGGAAACUGGGGAACUUGAGUGCAGGAGAGGAAAGUGGAAUUCCACGUGUAGCGGUGAAAUGCGUAGAUAUGUGGAGGAACACCAGUGGCGAAGGCGACUUUCUGGCCUGUAACUGACACUGAGGCGCGAAAGCGUGGGGAGCAAACAGGAUUAGAUACCCUGGUAGUCCACGCCGUAAACGAUGAGUGCUAAGUGUUGGGGGGUUUCCGCCCCUCAGUGCUGCAGCUAACGCAUUAAGCACUCCGCCUGGGGAGUACGGUCGCAAAGACUG